Molecule: long non-coding RNA, 842 nt
Organism: Drosophila gunungcola (fruit fly)
Lineage: Eukaryota; Metazoa; Arthropoda; Insecta; Diptera; Drosophilidae
Exons: 3
Source: RefSeq, a predicted model, not a curated record
GAAAACCGCACCAUUUUUAGUCGCUCAGAAGUCCCAGAAUCCCAACGUAAAUCAUAUUUGAGAUGUCGCAUCUUUAAUUCGGAGGCGGAAUUCCAUUGACGAAUUGCUUCUGCCGCCCCCUCACCAUCUUCAUUCGGCGACUGCCGCGUUUUUGUUGCGUUUGGAAAUUGCUUUGCUGGCGCCUACUUAAGUUACUUUCUGUCUUUCUUUUUUUUCGCUUUUUGUUUUUGCUGGAUCGUGCGCAUUCCGCUGGAUUCCGCAGCCAAAUUGAUGGCGCCAAAAUUCAAGAAGCUCAGCGGUCGGACUUGGAGCCGAGUCCGCCUGGGAAAGGCAAAAAGAAUCGGUGGCAGACGGCAGACGUCAUUGGCAUAACCAUACCCACGGCGAUGGGCAUACAAUCUACAAGAACCAACUUAUGCUUCAAGCCCACACUGUACUGGGUUGAAGGAGUGGAGCAUUUGUCCCAUAAAUGUCAAUUCGUCAGAGUUUUUCACGUCGCCGCUUAGAUGUCAGCUCCCCGGGGCCUUGAGAGCUCGGCCUUAAAUUAUUCUACGCACAGUCGUGGCCGUAUUAUGAAUUUUGAAUACAAUUAUUGCAAAAAUGUUCCCCCAGCAAAAAAAAAUGCAGCGCAGGAGGGAAAUUCUGGAUUGUCGGUCACUGGGUUUUGAGUUGGCCUAGAGGGUGGCCCUUUGCACCGAUCCGUUAUUUGCGUGCCGAUCGGACGAUUCAUUAAUAAAAAUUAUGUCAAAAUAAUCACGCCACCAGUUGGGACUCAAGACCUGGACCCAUGAUAAAUGAGUCGCCUCCAGGGUGCACUCGAAACCCUUUGCUGGGAUCAGGGA